UAACCUGCCUUGGAGUGGGGAAUAACAGUUGGAAACAGCUGCUAAUACCGCAUGAUGCAGUUGAGUCGCAUGGCUCUGACUGCCAAAGAUUUAUCGCUCUGAGAUGGGCUCGCGUCUGAUUAGCUAGUUGGCGGGGUAACGGCCCACCAAGGCGACGAUCAGUAGCCGGACUGAGAGGUUGGCCGGCCACAUUGGGACUGAGACACGGCCCAGACUCCUACGGGAGGCAGCAG
Molecule: ribosomal RNA, 233 nt
Filed under: uncultured bacterium
Lineage: Bacteria
Description: partial 16S ribosomal RNA
Rfam family: Bacterial small subunit ribosomal RNA
Source: RNAcentral